This 1577-nucleotide ribosomal RNA is filed under the name human gut metagenome. Its description in RNAcentral is "bacterial LSU rRNA". It matches the Rfam family "Bacterial large subunit ribosomal RNA", at positions 1251 to 2812 of the family's 2925-position model. The record is from RNAcentral.
CGAAGGUGAUUCGUAAGGAUUGCUGGAGGUAUCAGAAGUGCGAAUGCUGACAUAAGUAACGAUAAAGCGGGUGAAAAGCCCGCUCGCCGGAAGACCAAGGGUUCCUGUCCAACGUUAAUCGGGGCAGGGUGAGUCGACCCCUAAGGCGAGGCCGAAAGGCGUAGUCGAUGGGAAACAGGUUAAUAUUCCUGUACUUGGUGUUACUGCGAAGGGGGGACGGAGAAGGCUAUGUUAGCCGGGCGACGGUUGUCCCGGUUUAAGCAUGUAGGCUGGUUGUCCAGGCAAAUCCGGAUAAUCAAGGCUGAGGUGUGAUGACGAGGCACUACGGUGCUGAAGUAACAAAUGCCCUGCUUCCAGGAAAAGCCUCUAAGCAUCAGGUAACAUCAAAUCGUACCCCAAACCGACACAGGUGGUCAGGUAGAGAAUACCAAGGCGCUUGAGAGAACUCGGGUGAAGGAACUAGGCAAAAUGGUGCCGUAACUUCGGGAGAAGGCACGCUGGUGUGUAGGUGAAGUCCCUGCGGAUGGAGCUGAGACCAGUCGAAGAUACCAGCUGGCUGCAACUGUUUAUUAAAAACACAGCACUGUGCAAACACGAAAGUGGACGUAUACGGUGUGACGCCUGCCCGGUGCCGGAAGGUUAAUUGAUGGGGUUAUCCGUAAGGAGAAGCUCUUGAUCGAAGCCCCGGUAAACGGCGGCCGUAACUAUAACGGUCCUAAGGUAGCGAAAUUCCUUGUCGGGUAAGUUCCGACCUGCACGAAUGGCGUAAUGAUGGCCAGGCUGUCUCCACCCGAGACUCAGUGAAAUUGAACUCGCUGUGAAGAUGCAGUGUACCCGCGGCAAGACGGAAAGACCCCGUGAACCUUUACUAUAGCUUGACACUGAACAUUGAGCCUUGAUGUGUAGGAUAGGUGGGAGGCUUUGAAGUGUGGACGCCAGUCUGCAUGGAGCCGACCUUGAAAUACCACCCUUUAAUGUUUGAUGUUCUAACGUUGGCCCCUGACCGGGGUUGCGGACAGUGUCUGGUGGGUAGUUUGACUGGGGCGGUCUCCUCCUAAAGAGUAACGGAGGAGCACGAAGGUUGGCUAAUCCUGGUCGGACAUCAGGAGGUUAGUGCAAUGGCAUAAGCCAGCUUGACUGCGAGCGUGACGGCGCGAGCAGGUGCGAAAGCAGGUCAUAGUGAUCCGGUGGUUCUGAAUGGAAGGGCCAUCGCUCAACGGAUAAAAGGUACUCCGGGGAUAACAGGCUGAUACCGCCCAAGAGUUCAUAUCGACGGCGGUGUUUGGCACCUCGAUGUCGGCUCAUCACAUCCUGGGGCUGAAGUAGGUCCCAAGGGUAUGGCUGUUCGCCAUUUAAAGUGGUACGCGAGCUGGGUUUAGAACGUCGUGAGACAGUUCGGUCCCUAUCUGCCGUGGGCGCUGGAGAACUGAGGGGGGCUGCUCCUAGUACGAGAGGACCGGAGUGGACGCAUCACUGGUGUUCGGGUUGUCAUGCCAAUGGCACUGCCCGGUAGCUAAAUGCGGAAGAGAUAAGUGCUGAAAGCAUCUAAGCACGAAACUUGCCCCGAGAUGAGUUCU